GCGCGGCGGCCCGGGCAGUGCGCCUGUGCGACCGGCGCAUCCCGAUGGAGCGCGGCCACGGCUGCGGAGCGGGAGCCGGGACGGAGGGGGCUACGCGGGCCUCCCCGCUCCCCGGGAAGAUGGCCGAACCGGGCGCGGUGCGGACCUCGCCUCCCAACCACCGGCUUUCAGGCAUGGAUGGAUUUUUAAAAUCAGAUGAGAGACAAAGACUAGCUAAAGAAAGACGAGAAGAAAGAGAAAAACGUCUUGCUGCCCGGGAGCAGCAGAUCCUGGAGAAACAGAAAAGAGCCAAGCUCCAGUAUGAAAAGCAAAUCGAGGAGCGCUGGCGGAAGCUGGAAGAGCAGCGGCAGCGGGAGGAUCAGAAGAGGGCCGCUGUGGAAGAGAAGCGCAAGCAGAAGCUACGGGAAGAGGAGGAACGACUGGAGGCGAUGAUGCGCCGGUCCUUGGAGCGCUCACAGCAGCUGGAGCUGAAGAAGAAGUGCUCGUGGGGAGUAUCAGUGACCCCUGGGCCUGGGGGACGCGACGGUGAAUCAGAAAAUACCCCACCCCCUCCUCUAGGUUUAGCAGCCAACACCCUCCCUCCGGACCCAGGGACCACUGGCGCCGCUGCCGAGUCCACCAACGCAUGUGACAAACUUUCAACAUCAACCAUGAAUUUGCCAAAGCAGACGGAGCCUCCCAUGAGUAAGCGUCUGUCUUCAUCCACCGUGGCAAUAUCCUAUUCCCCAGACCGAGCUCAUCGCACGCACCUUAGUCCCAUGGAAACCUUUCUUGUUAAGCGACUGUUGACACCCACACAGGCUUCUCUAGCCAGAAGCGGAAAUGCAUUCAUGCUCUCUGAGCAGGCCAGUGACUCAGCUCCUGCUGGCCCUCUUAAAUCUUCCUACAAGUCUUCUCCCACUCGGAACACUGAGAGGAAGAAGACUACGCCUACAUCUGGCACAGGAGAUGCUGGGAAAGGAGCCCCUGUAGGAGCAGAGGCCUCUCCGACAGAGAAGUUGAAGCGGGGGCCGCGAACAACAACUUCCACUCCCAGUGUGGGCCAUGGGUCGCCUCUGAGAAGAUGCGAGCUUCCAGGAGGCAUUUCUAAGAGGUCGUCUUCUCCUGUGACAUCCAAGACACCUUCAAAAGCAUAUCCACAGUCUCCAAAGAAUGUGAAGCCACCAUACCCAGGGUCUCCCGUGAAGUACCGCUUUCCCACCGUUCCCAGCCAGGAAACACCCAAGAGGAAGGCAGAGAAAGAGAAGAGCAACAAGGAAAGGGAAGGUGCCCUGGCUCAGCAGGCGGCUGGCUCACAUGGAGGGGAAGUCCCAGAGAAGCAUGUGGCGGACAAGCAUGUCACUGAGAAGCACGCAGCCACCGGAGGAAAGGCCGAGAGCAGUGGAGGGAAGCCUGCAGCAGGCACCACUGAUGCAGAAGAGGCCGCGAAGAUCCUGGCUGAAAAGAGACGACAGGCCCGGCUGCAGAAGGAGCAGGAGGAGCAGGAACGGCUGCAGAAGGAAGCACAAAAUAGGCUGGAGAGAGAGGAAUUGAAAAGGAAGGCAGAGGAGGAAAGACUUCGCCUAGAAGAGGAAGCCCGUAAACGGGAAGAGGAAAAGAAAUGGCAGGAAGAGGAAGAGAAGAGAAAGGUGGAAGAGCAGUUGAAGCAGAAGGCCAAGAAGGAGCUGUUGUUGAAAGAAGAGCAAGAAAAAGAAAAACAAGAAAAAGAAAAGCAAGAAAAAGCCAUGAUUGAAAAGCAGAAGGAAGCAGUGGAAGCAAAGGCCCAUGAGGCAGCUAAACAGAUGCGUCUAGAAAGAGAACAGAUCAUGCUGCAGAUUGAGCAGGAGCGACUGGAGAGGAAGAAGAGAAUAGAUGAGAUCAUGAAGAGAACAAGGAAGAGUGAUGUGUCUGCAGAAGUGAAGAAAGAAGACCCAAAAGUGGAGCUUCAGCCUGCUGUGUGUGUGGAAAAUCAGACAAAACCAGCCGUCCCAAACAAAAUAGAUAUCAGUGGAUUGAACACCUGCCAGGAAGUUAAUGGUGUGGGGCGUGCUGCCCCAGAAACCUUUCCCGGAGAUGUUUUCUCUAAUGGGCUUAAAACAGUUGGGAGACUUGUUCAUCUGGAUACCCUUGAUGGAAAAUCAAACAGUCUGGAUGAUUCAACUGAAGAAGUUCAGUCUAUGGAUGUGAGUCCUGUGUCAAAAGAAGAGCUUAUCUCCAUCCCAGAAUUUUCACCAGUGAAUGAAAUGAUUCCUGGGGUGUCUCUGGACCAAAAUGGAACUGGUAAUGCCCGAGCACUUCAAGAUCUCUUAGAUUUCACUGGCCCCCCUAUGUUUCCCAAGAGAUCCAGUGAAACUCUCAGCCUGGACGACUGUAACAAAAACCUGAUUGAAGGAUUUAACAGUCCUGGCCAAGAAAGUACUCUGAACACCUUCUGUUGACAAAUACAUCUCUUUAAUGAAAGCGAACAUCUGUUCUUGGAUCAUACCUGAGGGAUUGAGGUGGGGAAGAACUGAAUUUUGUGCCCUGAAGCUUUUGUUCUCCAACUUUGGCCUUUUUUCUUGCCAAAGUACUUCUAGAAGCUCUUCUCAUUUGAGUGGUGUUUGGAGAACCCGUGAAGCUGCUGGCAGUCAAAUCCGAGCUGCCAGCCCUCUGAAGAAGCUUCUGUCAUCCUUUACCACCAGAUUCCAAAUUAUUAGAACAAAAAGUAACUGUAUUCCUAGUUAGUAUGUCAAACAAUGGCCACUCUUGGUAGAAACCUUGAGACAUUGGUCUUGUCUGGCUUUAGUAAAGUUUCACGUUCUGGUUCUAUUUAUGAGCUUCAGCUGCUGGCCAAGCGCUUCCUCUACUCCUCUAUCAUCAUAGUGGUCCUCCUAACAACCCAAGUGAUUCCAGCUUGGAAAUACACCUUAUAACUAUUCUUAUUCCCAAAGUUGGAACACAUAAACAUUUAGACGUCUUUCCUGUAAAUAGUCUAGACAUUUACCCAGAUUCUACUUAAACAUAUACUGGACUUGGGCUGCAUGUCUCCCUGUCUGUUCAGAAGGAAGAGAAAUUGCAGAGGGUUUCCCUCCCCCCUUCUGGGGUUUCUUGGUUGGAAGUUACUUUCAGGAAUCCAUCUUUUAUUAAUAAGCUUAGCCACUAGCAAAAUACGUUGCCCCACAUUACUCCUUUGGGGCUAACAGUAAGUCUGUGUAAGGAAGCCAUUGAACAGUGUGGAAUGGUUUCUGCUCUCUUAAUGCACAUUCUUAUAGACAUGGCCUCCUGAAUCUAGCAAGGGCCUUUCCAUGUUGCACCUUGAAAUCUCUAAGCUGUGGGCACUCCGGUGGCUUUUGGACUAAAUGAAUGGUGUGUCUCACACACAGGUGGUUGGUUUUCAUGUUGUUGCUGUUGUUUUUCUCUUGGAUCUUGAGGCUUUUGUUUGUUUGCUACAGUGUUUGCUCAACUCUAAUAAAACCAGGCACAGAUGAAAAUUAUAGUGCUCUGAAACAAGGGGGCCCUGAACUGGACCCAGUAUGUCACUUUAAUAGACUUUAGCCUAAAAACAUCUGACUGGGGGACAAAUGACGCUAGAAUGUAUACUCCACAUUUUAUGCCAUAUAAUGUGUUAAUGUCAUUUCUUGUGAUGAAAUGUGACUUUCAGAUUAAAAUGAUCUUUUCUUAUUUGAAAAGUUUUUUGACAUGUACAAUAAAGAGUUUAGAAAGAUCCAUAAUUCUGACUGAGGUUUGCAACUAGGAAAUAUAAAGAAGUUUCAAUAGCAGUCUUGUUCAUGUGCUUUCAAAACCAGCUACAGUUUAAGACUUUAUUAGCUAUGGAAACUGUAUGUUUGUGUAUGUGUAUAUACUAAAUAAAAUACAUGUAUCCAAUAGCACAGUGCCAUCAAGCUUGAUGAAUACUGGGGGGAAAUCCCUUUUAUGACAAGCACACAAAAUGAUAGCAUGGUCUGACUUUCAAACAAUGCCUCACCAUCUUCCUACAGCUUUAUUUUGCUGAAUGCCUGCUUUGUUGUGACCUGUUGGAUCUCACAGAACAUUGUGAUCGUGGUGAGGCCUCAUUUGCAUGAUGUGUACAUUGUGUUCAAUGUGAAAUACAUUUUCAGU
RNA transcript from Manis javanica (Malayan pangolin), 4077 nucleotides. It is a transcript of the gene named MAP7 domain containing 2, with no coding region annotated. The record is from RefSeq and is a predicted model, not a curated record. NCBI's taxonomy places the organism in Eukaryota, Metazoa, Chordata, Mammalia, Pholidota, Manidae.